CAGGAGAGAGGCUCAGGCCAAGGUGAAGAAGGGGAUGCUGGGGAGGGAUGCAGAUUAAAUUGCACUCUCCUUGGCUUGGGAAAGAAACAGCCAACAGAUUUGAAAGCUGGAGAUGAUGCAAAGAAGCCAAGGAGAAACAUGAAAACUCAAAUGUGCCCUGAACCAGUCUCAACCCCCAAGUCAAGGAAUGGAAAGUUCCUUAAGUCGUUUUCCUUUUGCAUCUCUGGCUGAAAUCCAGUAACACCUGACAGCGGUGGAGAGGGGUAUCCUAAUAGCUGAUUGGCCGAGGGAAGGAUCCAGAAGGAGGCCGCGGCCUUCCAGUGCACCCAGGCCCAGGCUUGAUUCAGCGGCAGUUUUCCAGCUCCUACCGGCACCAGAGGAGGGAACUCCUGACCCGCGGACCCACCCGCGAAGCAAGCCUUGACGUCUCCCGGAAUUUACAGCUCCUCUCCCUCCCCGCUGGGCUUCCCCAGGCAGCACGCACCCAGGCUCUUCUUUUGGAGGCUGACGCCUAGGGCAAACUGCAGGGGUCUGCACAACUCCCCGGGGCUUCCCGCAGAAGCUGAUU
Delphinapterus leucas (beluga whale) is the source of this 568-nucleotide non-coding RNA. NCBI's taxonomy places the organism in Eukaryota, Metazoa, Chordata, Mammalia, Artiodactyla, Monodontidae. The record is from RefSeq and is a predicted model, not a curated record.